GACGAACGCUGGCGGCGUGCUUAACACAUGCAAGUCGAACGGAAAGGCCCUGCUUUUGUGGGGUGCUCGAGUGGCGAACGGGUGAGUAACACGUGAGUAACCUGCCCUUGACUUUGGGAUAACUUCAGGAAACUGGGGCUAAUACCGGAUAGGAGCUCCUGCUGCAUGGUGGGGGUUGGAAAGUUUCGGCGGUUGGGGAUGGACUCGCGGCUUAUCAGCUUGUUGGUGGGGUAGUGGCUUACCAAGGCUUUGACGGGUAGCCGGCCUGAGAGGGUGACCGGCCACAUUGGGACUGAGAUACGGCCCCGACUCCUACGGGAGGCAGAAGUGGGGAAUAUUGCACCAUGGGCGGAAGCCUGAUGCAGCAACGCCGCGUGUGGGAUGACGGCCUUCGGGUUGUAAACCGCUUUCGCCUGUGACGAAGCGUGAGUGACGGUAAUGGGUAAAGGAGCACCGGCUAACUACGUG
This 468-nucleotide ribosomal RNA is filed under the name uncultured bacterium. Its description in RNAcentral is "partial 16S ribosomal RNA". It matches the Rfam family "Bacterial small subunit ribosomal RNA", at positions 28 to 507 of the family's 1533-position model. The record is from RNAcentral.